GAUGAACGCUGGCGGCGUGCCUAACACAUGCAAGUCGAACGGAAAGGCCCAAGCUUGCUUGGGUACUCGAGUGGCGAACGGGUGAGUAACACGUGGGUGAUCUGCCCUGCACUUCGGGAUAAGCCUGGGAAACUGGGUCUAAUACCGGAUAGGACCACAUUUUGGAUGGUGUGGUGGAAAGUUUUUCGGUGUGGGAUGAGCUCGCGGCCUAUCAGCUUGUUGGUGGGGUAAUGGCCUACCAAGGCGUCGACGGGUAGCCGGCCUGAGAGGGUGUACGGCCACAUUGGGACUGAGAUACGGCCCAGACUCCUACGGGAGGCAGCAGUGGGGAAUAUUGCACAAUGGGCGCAAGCCUGAUGCAGCGACGCCGCGUGGGGGAUGACGGCCUUCGGGUUGUAAACUCCUUUCACUAGGGACGAAGCGUUAUGUGACGGUACCUGGAGAAGAAGCACCGGCUAACUACGUG
Molecule: ribosomal RNA, 466 nt
Filed under: uncultured bacterium
Lineage: Bacteria
Description: partial 16S ribosomal RNA
Rfam family: Bacterial small subunit ribosomal RNA
Source: RNAcentral